This is a non-coding RNA of Vicugna pacos (alpaca), 220 nucleotides long. The record is from RefSeq and is a predicted model, not a curated record. NCBI's taxonomy places the organism in Eukaryota, Metazoa, Chordata, Mammalia, Artiodactyla, Camelidae.
UGUUACCAUUGCAGCAUGUUCCCUUUGUGCUAGAUGAAUCACCGUCUUCCUUCAUGCUGUGUUCUGAGAGAUAAGGGUGUUUGAAAGCCAAACUUCACCAAGCUUGUUGGGAGCACAAAGACAUUCUUCAGUUGGAAACUACACUACAUACAUAUAUAUGGGGAGGUACUACCUCCUACUCAUUUUUACAGUGAAAACAGCAGGAAAUUCAAACCAGCAC